UACAGAGGCCCCAAGCGUUACUGAGAAUCACUGGGUUUAAAGGGUGCGUAGGUGGCGCGUUAAGUCCGUUGUGAAAUCCCUGGGCUCAACCCAGGAAUUGCUUCGGAUACUGGCGUGCUUGAGGCUAGUAGGGGUCACUGGAACUGACGGUGGAGCGGUGAAAUGCGUAGAUAUCGGAAGGAACAUCAGUGGCGAAGGCGACUUCCUGGACCAAUACUGACGCUCAGGUGCGAAAGCGUGGGGAGCAAACAGG
Molecule: ribosomal RNA, 253 nt
Filed under: uncultured bacterium
Lineage: Bacteria
Description: partial 16S ribosomal RNA
Rfam family: Bacterial small subunit ribosomal RNA
Source: RNAcentral